UUAUUUUUUGCUUUUCUUGAACCCCACAACUUUUUUGAUUUGAUUUAUUUUUUUUCUGUUUUUUUUUUGAACCCCCAAAACUUCAUGUCACUCUUACUGCCAAACAAUGAACCGCGUUCUCCAUCUGAAUCUCCAUCUCUGUACGACGGAAUCUCUUCCUCCAAUAUCGCGCUACUAGGGAAAACUCGUUGAGUCAAAAUCACGAUGCUAAACUCCUCAGAGUAACAUCUUCACCAACCAGCCAAACCAAUUCUCAAAC
This 259-nucleotide long non-coding RNA is filed under the name Lathyrus oleraceus (garden pea). RNAcentral describes it as "Pisum sativum (pea) long non-coding RNA (PSAT_LNC020406)". Lineage: Eukaryota; Viridiplantae; Streptophyta; Magnoliopsida; Fabales; Fabaceae. The record is from RNAcentral.